CUUUGCCUUUCAAAGCGAAGUUUGAAAUAUUGCCUGCGCGCCUCGUUCGUGGUUGUUUGAAGAUCCGUGUAAACUUCCCGGGUUCCCGAUCCGUGCCAUGAUGGAGGUGCCGUCGGCGUCGCCGGGCGGCGUGUCCGACGACGACGACGUUAGGCCCAGCGUGCUGGAAUCCACAGCCGCUGACCCCGGGGGCCUCGCGGGCCCGCGGGGUCGAGGUUACGACCUGCCGGAGAUCUCCCUGAUCUCCUCGCCUCAAGACGACCAGCCUUUAAGGAAAGAGGUGAAACAUGUGGGGAUACAUAUGGACAAAGAGGAUGAUGUGGAGAGAGUCCAAGUGUAUUUGCGUGUUCGGCCCGUGCUCGAGGCGGAGAAGGAACGUGGUGAGGAACAGGGCUGUGUCUUUAUUCACGACCAACAAACCGUGGUGCUGAAAGCCCCCACGGACUCGUUCAACAUGAAGGGCAUGGAAAGGGGUACUGCUCAGAGCAUGCACAAGUUCACUUUUACACAGAUAUCUGGACCUGAGACAACUCAGCAAGAGUUUUUUGAGUGUACCACGAAGGAGCUUGUGCAGGAGGUCCUACGUGGUGAGAACAGGCUGCUUUUCACGUAUGGCAUCACCAACUCUGGCAAGACAUACACCGUCCAGGGAACGAGCCAGAAGGCCGGCCUGCUCCCCCGGACACUGGUGGCCUUGUUUCGCAAGCUGCAGGGUCAUCUUUCCUGUGCGCUGGAGCUGAAACCAGUGCUGUGCCAGGAGGUGCGCGUCCUGGACCAUACCGAGGUCCAGGCUGAGGAGAUCCGCCGAGACAAACUGCUACACAUGACAGAGGGAAUGAUGUCCCAAAAUUCCCGGCUGC
RNAcentral lists this long non-coding RNA (860 nucleotides) under Scleropages formosus (Asian bonytongue). RNAcentral describes it as "lncRNA (ENSSFOG00015030056.1)". The record is from RNAcentral. Lineage: Eukaryota; Metazoa; Chordata; Actinopteri; Osteoglossiformes; Osteoglossidae.